This 597-nucleotide ribosomal RNA is filed under the name uncultured bacterium. RNAcentral's name for it is "partial 16S ribosomal RNA". It matches the Rfam family "Bacterial small subunit ribosomal RNA", at positions 898 to 1494 of the family's 1533-position model. The record is from RNAcentral.
AACUCNGAGNAAUUGANGGGUGUCCUUAGNAGCUGAGGAGCAUGUGGUUUAAUUCGACGCAACNNUUANAACCUUACCUGGGCUCGAAAUGUAGAGGAAUCGGGCAGAAACGUNNGCGUCUUGCAAUAGACCGCUAUAUAGGUGCUGNGUGCCUGUCGUCUGCUCGNGUCGUGCGAUGUUGGGUUAAGUCCCGCAACGAGCGCNACCCUUAUCUUCAGNNGCUACNNUUUNAUNGAGNACUCUGACGAAACCGCCUCGGAUAACGGGGAGGAAGGUGGGGAUGACGUCAAGUCCUCAUGGCCUUUAUGUCUAGGGCUACACACGUGCUACAAUGGCCGAUACAAACCGCUGCAAACCCGCGAGGGGGGAGCUAAUCGGAAAAAGUCGGCCUCAGUUCGGAUUGGAGUCUGCAACUCGACUCCAUGAAGCUGGAAUCGCUAGUAAUCGUGGAUCAGCAUGCCACGGUGAAUACGUUCCCGGGCCUUGUACACACCGCCCGUCACAUCACGAAAGUGGGUUGCACUAGAAGUCGGUGCGCUAACCGCAAGGGAGCAGCCGCCCAAGGUGUAAUUCAUGAUUGGGGUGAAGUCGUAACAA